This 331-nucleotide ribosomal RNA is filed under the name uncultured bacterium. Its description in RNAcentral is "bacterial SSU rRNA". It matches the Rfam family "Bacterial small subunit ribosomal RNA", at positions 8 to 334 of the family's 1533-position model. The record is from RNAcentral.
AGAGUUUGAUUCUGGCUCAGGAUUAACGCUGGCGGCGUGCCUAAUACAUGCAAGUCGAGCGAGGAAAGUAGCAAUACUUUUCGAGCGGCGAACGGGUGAGUAACACGUUGGGAAUCUACCCCUGAGACCGGAAUACCUGGAAGAAAUUUCAGCUAAUGCCGGAUACGUGGUCAACACAGAAGUGAUGAUCAUAAAAGGCGGCCUUAAAGCCGCGCUGAGGGAUGAACCUGCGGCGCAUUAGCUAGUUGGUGAGAUAAAAGCCCACCAAGGCGAGGAUGCGUAGCCGACCUGAGAGGGUGAACGGCCACACUGGAACUGAGACACGGUCCAG